GUAGCGAGUUCACGAAAACAUAGUGCUCAGUACUUCGACGAAGAAAUUGGUUUCGUGAUCGUAGACAACAACUCUACCUUGUGUGUUUUGGCCGGUGUCCCCUCAUCGCCCCCUGCUUGGCUAGUCCGGCAUGAUCGAGUCUCGCAGCUGCUGCGUGCCAACACAUGCCAAGAAUGCUUUCGAUGUUAUGCAAGACCUGCGGCGGCAGCAGCAACUCUGCGACGUCAUCCUGUGCGUGGAUGGCGCCAAGUUCCAUGCCCACAAAGUGGUCCUAGCGGGCUGCAGCCCGUACCUGCGGGCCAUGUUCACCAACGGGAUGUUGGAGACAGACAGGGACUGUGUACAAAUACAUGGCGUGGAGCCGACCACCAUGGAGAUGCUGCUGGACUUCAUGUACACAAGUAACAUUGAGAUUAAUGUGGAGAAUGUACAGAGUAUUCUUCAGGGUGCCAGUCUGUUGGGACUACACUCUCUAAGGACAAUCUGCUCACAUUUUCUACAGACCCAGUUGGUGGCAUCAAACUGCUUGGGUAUCCAGCACUUUGCAGACAUGUACACAUGUACAGAGCUGGAAGCAAUUGCAAGACAGUUCAUCUAUCAGAACUUUCUCGAAGUCGUGCGAACAGAUGAGUUUUUCGAUCUCGCUGAAGAGAGGCUUCUCCAGUUGUUGAAAAGUGAUAAACUUCAGGUGAUGGCCGAGAGCCAGGUGUUCGAGGCAGCAUCAGCGUGGCUGCAGUGGGACCCCGUGUGUCGUCUUGACAAAGCCUGCACCGUUCUCCAACACAUCCGAUUAGCUUUGCUAGAGCUGCCAUACUUGGAAAAUGUUGUGUUAAAAUCCGAGUUUUUUCGUACGUGUCCAAAGUGCCAGUUGUUCAUCAGCAAAGCAAUUCGAACAAAACAGGACAUGACGGCCAUGCAACUUGUGACCCCCCGAGCCCAGCCCCCGUGUAUAUAUGUGGUGGGGGGCAGGAACAGCUCGGACUGUCAGCUGAAGAGUGUGGAGAGAUAUGACUUUCUGACUGAUCAGUGGAUGUCCAUGCCCAGUAUGAACAUUGCCCGGACAGCGGUAGGGGCCACCAGCCUGGAUGGGAUGCUGUUUGCAGUGGGUGGUGAGUGUGCGCUGGUCGACACUCAAGAGGACACUCUCUACCUCCGCUGUGUGGAGUGUUACGACCCAGUGAUGAAACAGUGGAUACCAAAGACGGAGAUGAAGGUUGCAAGGUCAUUUGUGGCAGUGGCUGCUGUGGCAGGGGUCUUGUAUGCUAUAGGGGGUGAGGAUCGAUCGUGCAGCUACAGCAUCAUGGAGAGGUACGAUCCCAAGACAGAGAUGUGGUGUUUUGCUCCCAGCAUGAAGAGGAAGCGGGCAGGCUCAGGGGUUUCUGUGUGUGAUGGCAAGAUAUAUGUAGCUGGUGGCUAUGACAAGACAUUGCAUAUGGACAGGGCCAGCGUGGAGUGUUUUGACCCAGAUACACAGGAGUGGACGUUCGCGGCGGAGAUGGAGAAGGCCCGGUCGGGGCUGUCACUGGUCACUGUUGACCACUUCAUAUAUGCAUUCGGGGGACGCUUCAGACACACUGACCAGUACUUCGAUCUCGUCGAGAGAUUCAACACUCUCACCCGCCAGUGGACAACCAUCACCCCAAUGAACACACCCCGAGCUUGGCCGGGCAUUUCAGUGUUUGAUGGAAAGAUAUAUGUCGUCGGUGGCUUCGACGGCCAGAGUCGUCUACGGAGUGCGGAAUCGUAUGACCCAGAUGCUGAUCAGUGGUCGUUGCUUAGCAACAUGCUUGUCAGUCGAGCAGGUUGUGGUGCAGGUGUUGUGUGAGAUUUCUUCAGCGUGAACAGUCCUUGAAUGUUAUUUAUAUUUAGUUUGUCAGUCAAAUAGUAUAGGGUGGAGAGGAUUUAUUUCAUUUUUUGUCAAAGCCCAUAGGCGAAUCUAGACGUGUUCUUUCUCCGAUUUCUAGUUGACUUCCUUCGGACCUGGAGUUUACAACACCCAUGAUCUUACCAUGCUUACAUAGCAUUCUGACAGUUAUUUCUUUCAGUGUUUAGUUUCUGGGUGAAACAUUACAUUAUGCAUGAUAUACAUCUAUGUCAGAAACAAAUGCAAGAGGAGCUCUUGAGUCCACUGUUCUUCCUGUGGGCAGUGUGCCCUGCUUGAGAUCUCAUGGUUCAUAUUAAUGACAUUAGCAUAUUUACAUAAUCAUUUAGAAGAAUGAUUACAGCAUGGACAUAAACUGAAGAUGCAUUGUGUGAACAAUCUCAUUAAAUCAGAUCUUUUGCUCUGAUUCAAAACCUCAACGUUAAGAUUGACAGCCUCUAAAAAGGAAUGUCUGAAGUUAACUUUCUAAUCAGCCAGUCAGCUUUGAUGCUUUAAAGUUCUUGGUAAUAACCUUUCAGACAAAGCAUAUCAAAAUUUGGUAUCUAAAAUACCCACUUUAACCUGUAGUUCACAAUUUUGAAAAUAACAGUGCCAACCGGUAGUGCAUUGAAGUAAUGGUAGUGGUCUGUGUGGGUCUCCUUUUGUGCAACAUUUCUGAAUUGAGGUAGCCAGAAAGUCAUUCCAGAAAGCUGACAUCUGAUUGGUCAUGAAGCCUUCAUUGAGGUCGGAGUCAUAUAAUUCUAGAAAGCUGACAUCUGAUUGGUCAUGAAGCCUUCAUUGAGGUCAGAGUUCACUCUGAGUGAGUGUUGACUCUGUAAGGAGGUGUUGUCUGAUCUUCAUGCAAAGAGGUAACAUAUUGGAAAACAGGACCUGAUUUGAAUGAGAUGAAGUACAAUGUAUUAGGACAUUUUUCAUGAGAGGUUUUUCAUUUUGUUGUCUUUGUGCAUAUUUCUCUACCACAUUUUAUACCUACAUAGCUUACAGUGCAGAAAUUGAAGAAGCCAUUCAUCUUCAAUUGUAACUUUAUGCCAAAGAAGCAGUUUUAUAUGCCAAAA
Molecule: unclassified non-coding RNA, 2937 nt
Filed under: Haliotis rubra (blacklip abalone)
Lineage: Eukaryota; Metazoa; Mollusca; Gastropoda; Lepetellida; Haliotidae
Description: kelch-like ECH-associated protein 1, transcript variant X1
Source: RNAcentral